Molecule: ribosomal RNA, 433 nt
Filed under: uncultured bacterium
Lineage: Bacteria
Description: partial 16S ribosomal RNA
Rfam family: Bacterial small subunit ribosomal RNA
Source: RNAcentral
AACGAACGCUGGCGGCAUGCCUAACACAUGCAAGUCGAACGAGAUCUUCGGAUCUAGUGGCGCACGGGUGCGUAACGCGUGGGAAUCUGCCCCUUGCUUCGGAAUAACAGUGAGAAAUUUCUGCUAAUACCGGAUGAUGUCUCCGGACCAAAGAUUUAUCGGCAAGGGAUGAGCCCGCGUAGGAUUAGGUAGUUGGUGGGGUAAUGGCCUACCAAGCCGACGAUCCUUAGCUGGUCUGAGAGGAUGAUCAGCCACACUGGGACUGAGACACGGCCCAGACUCCUACGGGAGGCAGCAGUGGGGAAUAUUGGACAAUGGGCGAAAGCCUGAUCCAGCAAUGCCGCGUGAGUGAUGAAGGCCUUAGGGUUGUGAAGCUCUUUUACCAGGGAUGAUAAUGACAGUACCUGGAGAAUAAGCUCCGGCUAACUCCGUG